AAAAAAAAGGUCUGGUUUUUCUC
Molecule: non-coding RNA, 23 nt
Filed under: Cricetulus griseus (Chinese hamster)
Lineage: Eukaryota; Metazoa; Chordata; Mammalia; Rodentia; Cricetidae
Source: RNAcentral